RNAcentral lists this ribosomal RNA (666 nucleotides) under uncultured fungus. Its description in RNAcentral is "eukaryotic LSU rRNA". It matches the Rfam family "Eukaryotic large subunit ribosomal RNA", at positions 24 to 664 of the family's 3401-position model. Lineage: Eukaryota; Fungi. The record is from RNAcentral.
CCCGCUGAACUUAAGCAUAUCAAUAAGCGGAGGAAAAGAAACUAACAAGGAUUCCCCUAGUAACUGCGAGUGAAGCGGGAAAAGCUCAAAUUUAAAAUCUGGUGGUCUUUGGCCAUCCGAGUUGUAAUUUAGAGAAGCGUCUUCCGCGCUGGACCGUGCACAAGUCUCCUGGAAUGGAGCGUCACAGAGGGUGAGAAUCCCGUCUUUGGCAUGGACACACCAGGGCUUUUGUGAUGCGCUCUCGAAGAGUCGAGUUGUUUGGGAAUGCAGCUCAAAAUGGGUGGUGAACUCCAUCUAAAGCUAAAUAUUGGCGAGAGACCGAUAGCGAACAAGUACCGUGAGGGAAAGAUGAAAAGCACUUUGGAAAGAGAGUGAAACAGUACGUGAAAUUGUUGAAAGGGAAACGCUUGAAGUCAGUCGCGUCGACCGAGACUCAGCCUCGCCUCGGCUUGGUGUACUUCUCGGCUGACGGGUCAGCAUCAAUUUUGCCUCUUGGAUAAUGGCGGGGGAAAUGUGACACCUUUACGGUGUGUUAUAGUCUCUCGUCGCAUGCAAGGGUCGGGAUUGAGGAACUCAGCACGCGCCUUCGGGUGUCGGGGCUUUUGCCCACGAUACGUGCUUAGGAUGUUGGCGUAAUGGCUUUAAACGACCUGUCGCGAAACACGG